This 81-nucleotide transfer RNA is filed under the name Vermamoeba vermiformis. Its description in RNAcentral is "tRNA-Leu". It matches the Rfam family "tRNA". Rfam says of the family: Transfer RNA (tRNA) molecules are approximately 80 nucleotides in length. Their secondary structure includes four short double-helical elements and three loops (D, anti-codon, and T loops). Lineage: Eukaryota; Tubulinea; Echinamoebida; Vermamoebidae. The record is from RNAcentral.
GUGGGUAUGGUGAAACUGGUAAACACACUAUUUUUAGAAAGUAGCGCCUAAAGCUUGUGGGUUCAACUCCCACUACCCACA